AUGCUGCCAGCGCUCUGCUCUCUCUUCACUGCUCUCUCAUGUGUCAGUGGUGUGAUUGUGGUGACGCAGAAGCCUCCUGUUCUCACACUGACUCAAGGACAGACGGCCACCAUGGACUGUAACCUGGGGACUGUUACUGAUCAAAGUGCACGCUGGUACAAACAGGUUCCUGGAGGAGUUACUCAGAAUGUGAUAAGACAUUAUCAUGAGUGGAGUUCUCCUGAAUAUGGAUCUGGUUUCUCAUCAUCUAAAUUCACAUCAACACACUCCUCUAAAUCAGAUUAUAAACUGAUUAUCAGUAAUGUGGAGGUGGGAGACUCAGCAGUGUAUUACUGUAACACAUGGGACGACUCUGCUAAAGAGCAUGUAUCACAGUGA
Clarias gariepinus (North African catfish) is the source of this 378-nucleotide non-coding RNA. Lineage: Eukaryota; Metazoa; Chordata; Actinopteri; Siluriformes; Clariidae. The record is from the annotation of a RefSeq genome assembly.